Molecule: long non-coding RNA, 587 nt
Organism: Brienomyrus brachyistius
Lineage: Eukaryota; Metazoa; Chordata; Actinopteri; Osteoglossiformes; Mormyridae
Exons: 3
Source: RefSeq, a predicted model, not a curated record
ACAUGUACAUCUUUAAAGGAGGAAACCUUACAUCACAUAGUUGGGUAUUUCCAGAACGGACUGAAUGUUAGAACUAGAGAAAAUAAACUGACUUGCUUUAAAUUUGCAUUUGUAAGUUAAAAACUUGAGCUCACUUAAGCUGAGUUGGAAGAAUUGACAAGCAAAAUGUAUUUUCAUGUGUUUCACAUUUAUUGUGCCUUCGUGGCUUUGAGAGAGCAGCGCUGGUUGCUGACGAGAAUGAGUGUAGGGGCAAAGGGGGAGGGAAAAGGAGGAGAAAGGGGCUAUGAGGAGCACACCCAGCAGGACAGAGGGCAGGAAAACCGGGCUGUCAGGGCGGAAUCCGCACGGGUGGCCGCCCUACAAACUGGUGGGGUUCAGGUAUUCUCUGGAUGCAAGUACUGGGUGCUGUAAGUCACCCACAGAACAUGACACAUGGUGUGCUGUGCGAUGGACUGGCAUGCUGUUAGAGAAAAAUGGUCUUCGUACUGAUAUUAUUCCACAUGCUGAGAUUAAGAAUCGACAAAGAGCUGGACACAACAGUCUGUAAACAUAAAUAUGAGGUAAAUUAAUAGAUUAAAUGAAAAGCC